GUCCCUGUAGCGCAAUGCAUAGCGCGUUGGACUUCUAAUCCAAAGGUCAUGGGUUGGACUUCCACUUGGGAUG
Trichonephila inaurata madagascariensis is the source of this 73-nucleotide non-coding RNA. The record is from the annotation of a GenBank genome assembly. Lineage: Eukaryota; Metazoa; Arthropoda; Arachnida; Araneae; Nephilidae.